GGAAUACCCUAAGUACAUCAUGAGCUCUUACAUUUUUAAUAUGUUGUUGAGAAUUAGUUAAAGUUGCAUAUUGUGGCAUGUAUUUUCGACUCAGAGAUUUUUAUUGUAUGUUGUUGCCAAUAAUGUACUUCUCAUAAUUUUUUUUAGUAUUUUAAUUAAUUAUGUAAUUUUCGAGCAUAUUUAAUAUUUAAUAUUUUUCACAAAAGUUAUGUACCAUGAUAAAGGACAUGAAGAGAAGAUUGUGAUCUCGG
This 251-nucleotide unclassified non-coding RNA is filed under the name Hevea brasiliensis (rubber tree). Lineage: Eukaryota; Viridiplantae; Streptophyta; Magnoliopsida; Malpighiales; Euphorbiaceae. The record is from RNAcentral.